Anas platyrhynchos (mallard) is the source of this 3203-nucleotide non-coding RNA. NCBI's taxonomy places the organism in Eukaryota, Metazoa, Chordata, Aves, Anseriformes, Anatidae. The record is from RefSeq and is a predicted model, not a curated record.
CUCGCUGGACAAGGGAAACACCUCCACAGCUCUCUAAGCACAGCUCUUAAUGUUUUUAGCUGGUUGCAGCCUGGGCUAAUCCCAUGUGGGUUUCUCACCUUGAGCCAGAGGUCGCUCAGGCUGGCUGUGCUGCUCUGAAGUCUGGAUUCAUUCUUUUGGGACUCGUUGUUACUGAAGUCAGGAUUUUUGGGCUAGCAAUAACUUCCUAUAAAAUUGGAGGGAGCAAUGUAAAAACCCUGCAGGAGAGGAUUUCAUUUUCUAUUAAACUCCAGAAGGCUUCUCCAGGAGGGGCUGAAGCCAUCGCAGGGACGUUUCCCCUUGGGACCACUGGCUUCCUCUGCACAGGACCCCCAGCAUGUGGCAAUUCUGCAAAAUGAGGAAGGAGAACUGGAGAGCCGAGGAGCCCACCCUUUGUUCCUGCUGUUCCCACACCCCGAGCACUGGCACACGGCGGCUGCUGGCCUCAGAUGCGUUCGGACGAGCUCAUGUGAAUCCUGUGCUAACCCUGUUUGUCACCCUGUGCGUCUCUUUGCUUCCCAUCAGACUUCUUCUCUCUUUUCUCAGCUCAAGCACAUCUGUGUAGGGUUAAUCCACUUUCCCACCCACCCCUAAUCUUCCACCUCACUGUGUUCCGUGUUUUUCAGUGUAAUUGGUCCCAGCAUAUCACACACAACCACCAUCCCUCUCCCCUAACUCCAAUAAGAGCUCAUACACCAGCAAAGUAAUCUUUCCCACCUGGGCCACUCCCGUGGUUUCAUAUCACUUAAUCCUCCCUCGUGAGCUGAGGAAGAGUUUAAGGUAACAUCUGCUCAGCUUUAUAUUUGUUGUGUUCGUACCGAUGGUCCCUUGGUUCCCAUUGCCAAGCAAGUAAGGGGAACGUCUCGGUGAGAGUCCCACAUUUUCUGGGAGAUAACAAAUUCUGCCGGGCGAACCCUGCUAUUAGAGACCCCAUUAAAAUCAAGGACGUAGGUUCAGUAAAUUUACUCUUCCAGCCUGCUGUGCUUAUUCCGCUUGCCUAUUUUCCCCUUGAGUUUCUUCCUGGAUUAAUUUCCUCCCUGCUCCCUCCCUGUCACUGACGGGCUGUGAGCAAGGAACCGAGCCCCUUCCCCUCAUCAAGCCGCAGGCUCGUGCCUUCCUGCAGCUGGCAGCGGCUGCCUGUCGGCCUCGCUGCUCAGCCUUGAUGCAGGUCUUCUGCUGGAAGGAGCCACCUUGCUGCUUGGCAAUCGCUGCUCCUCAAAAUCAGGGAGCAUCCUCACGUGGCGCCCCACCAACUCCUCCUGGGAAAGCCCUGGGAGCUACAAAGUGUUUGAGGGACCUGCUAGAUGCCAGGGACUUAUCUGAAGGUCACCUCCUCUGUGAUACUGCUGGUGUGGGGGGAGCUAAGGGAUGCCUUUCUGAAUAGCUCUCCUCCGUGCUCUCCUAUGGCACGCAAAGCUCAUUCACCUCUGCAGUAUGCUGCUGCGCUCCUUGAAGUGAGCCAUCAUUUCAUUUUCGGUGACUUCCUAAUGUGUUUAUUCCUUUCUUCCCAAGCAGCAGCGCAGGCAUUGCUGCAUUUGGCAGAGGAACAAAGCCUCAUUGUUCAAAGCCUGCAUGCUCCAGCAUCAGCUGGGACAAACACGAUCGCGCUCCUAGACCUCAGCUUCCAAAGCCAGCCGGACAAAGAGCAAAAAGGCUCAAAAUCCCACGUUAGAUAAAAAAAAAAAAAAAAAAAAAAAAACACCUCACCUUUAUCUCACCUCUAAAGGACUCUGUCAAGCCCAGCUUUUUAUCUGUUCUUUCUUUUGUUAGUAACACCUCUUCAGAAGCCCAAAUAUAGCACCUCUUCUUCUAGUGAGGAAGAAGAGAUGUCUACCUGGCCCUGGGUGCUGUGCUUGCUGCUACGUCCUGCUCAGGGACAGCCCCAGGGAGGGCUCAGGGUCAGGCAGCAUUGGUUUUGGAGCAGUCACACAAGGCAAACCCAGUAUUUUUAUUAUUAUUAUUAUUAUUUUUUUUUCCAGCAGUGUGGCAGAAAAAGCCUUCCCCCAGGCUCUCAUCCCUGAGGUUGCAAAUACUGAGGCAGGUGCUGGGGGUGAUCCCUUGGCUCCUGUGCAGCUCCAUCCCGGUGCCCGCCCAGAGAUGCACAAGCCUGGGAGGCUGUGGGGGGCUGCUCCUUGUCCUGCUGCUGGGAUAUUUUCCAUGGUUUGUUUCUUCCCCUUCUCUCUGUGCCAGUUCUAGCUGCAAGGUGCCUGCUGACUUCUUGGGAAGCUGUCGGGUGACUUGCUAUAAAAAGUGCUCAGGAAUCCUGCCCUGAAUUUGAGCUGCAUUUUUACCUUUUUUUAUUUUACAUCCCUAGUUUUAAUUAUACAUUUUCUCACACUAAAGAACAUUCAUUUAUCUCAACAUCUUUGGGAUGAUUUGGACUAUAAUAUUUUCCCAUUGUCUGUCGCUGCUACAGCUGAUGGAUAAACAGAUAUAUUAGCCUGAAACUGGCUUUUAAUCAACUGAAACAAGCAAUGCUAAUAUAAAAUACUUUACACCAAUACACAGGCUGAUUUUCCUGUCAUAAAUAUGCCUGGAAAAAAGGGCACCUUUUCUGACGUGCUUAUCUACACUUCAGAAGCAUGGACCUGGUGUUACCUUGUCACUGUUUACCUAUAUAUUUUUUCCCUUUAAGCCAGUCUGCUCAGCCUCCCAUUAUUCCUGCUGGUUCCUCUGCUCCUCCUGGAUCUGGUCUGCCAGUCACUCUGGCCAGGGGGUAUCCAAAAUGGAAGAUUGCACAAGAGUGAUGAGACAGUUUCUUAUCUCUCUGCCCUAGGAUAUGUCAUGCAGCCCAAAAUUGUCCUGAGAUUCUUGCUGUUGACGUGACAAAUUGCAAACUCACGUCCAAUUUCCUGCGUGCUAACCCUGCAAAGUCUUUCACUGCAUUUGGGUCUCCUCCUCCCAUAGGGUGUCUUAAUUUUGGAAUAUUUCCUCCCUGGACAUAUUAGUCUGCGUGUCCUUCAAUCUAGGGCAUUUUCUCCCUAUGUCCCACAUCUUUCUUUCUUUCAUUCCUUCUCUUUCUCUUUUUUUUUUUUUUUCUUUUCUUGUCCUUUUGUGUUAUAUUCCACUCCUUGCCUGUGAUUGCAUCCUCCCCAAUGUAGUAUCAAUUGCAGUUUUAAUAAACAUGCUGUCUAAUGCUUUUUCUAGAUCAUUAAUGAAGAUGGUAAAUAAAACUUGAGCUAACA